AACCUCCAAAACGAUCUA
This 18-nucleotide small nuclear RNA is filed under the name Arabidopsis thaliana (thale cress). RNAcentral's name for it is "snRNA_02346". The record is from RNAcentral. Lineage: Eukaryota; Viridiplantae; Streptophyta; Magnoliopsida; Brassicales; Brassicaceae.